Molecule: long non-coding RNA, 333 nt
Organism: Sardina pilchardus (European sardine)
Lineage: Eukaryota; Metazoa; Chordata; Actinopteri; Clupeiformes; Clupeidae
Exons: 3
Source: RefSeq, a predicted model, not a curated record
AACUUGCUGGCUUAUAACCCGAUUCUGGUUACCUAAUGUUGGGCCUGCUAACGACGUUUAUUCCAUAAUUAUGAAUAUAUUUUAUUCAGGGGGUGUCCUAGCUCCAGCUGCAAUGGUCGCUGACAUGCAUUGGACGCACCCAGUGAUGGGGAGUGCUGGUGGACAGGAUCUGCGCGUCCUAUCAGAAAGUGAGUCAGACCUUCGGCAGUGAGCCAGUCAAAGAAAUGAGUGAAGCGAUAGUGCCCGUCAUCCUGUCUAUCCUCCGCCAGCCCAGCGUAAAAGAGACGGAGAGCGGAAAAGAACAACGACGAACCAUUGAAUCAACAGAGGACG